GAUGAACGCUGGCGGCGUGCCUAAUACAUGCAAGUCGAGCGAACGGACGAGAAGCUUGCUUCUCUGAUGUUAGCGGCGGACGGGUGAGUAACACGUGGAUAACCUACCUAUAAGACUGGGAUAACUUCGGGAAACCGGAGCUAAUACCGGAUAAUAUUUUGAACCGCAUGGUUCAAAAGUGAAAGACGGUCUUGCUGUAACUUAUAGAUGGAUCCGCGCUGCAUUAGCUAGUUGGUAAGGUAAUGGCUUACCAAGGCAACGAUGCAUAGCCGACCUGAGAGGGGGGUAGGCCACAUUGGAAGUGAGACACGGACCAUACUCCUGAGGGAGGCAGCAGUAGCGUACCUGCCGCAGUAGGCGAGAGCAUGACGGAGCAAGGCCGCGUGAGUGGUGAAGAUCUUCGGAUCGUAAAACUCUGUUAUGAGGGAAGAACAGAUUUGUAAGGAACUGUGCACAUCUUGACGGUACCUAAUCAGAAAGCCACGGCUAACUACGUG
RNAcentral lists this ribosomal RNA (497 nucleotides) under uncultured bacterium. RNAcentral's name for it is "partial 16S ribosomal RNA". It matches the Rfam family "Bacterial small subunit ribosomal RNA", at positions 28 to 507 of the family's 1533-position model. The record is from RNAcentral.